Molecule: long non-coding RNA, 2341 nt
Organism: Papaver somniferum (opium poppy)
Lineage: Eukaryota; Viridiplantae; Streptophyta; Magnoliopsida; Ranunculales; Papaveraceae
Exons: 3
Source: RefSeq, a predicted model, not a curated record
UCGGUGAGAUACAGAUGGCUAACGAGGUCAUUGACUUCAACCACUUUGGGGUAUUCGAAUCUCUCGAAAACACGCACACCAGGUGAAGAAGAAGAAAACCAUCUUCUAUGUAGCGGCGAUGAAGAUAGAAUGGGUGAAAGACAUUUUCUUGGUCCUCUAGAAGGGAAACUAGGAGAUGGAAUUGAUGAAGAAUUUGAAAAAGAUGAAACUGAUGAAGAAAACCAUCUUCUUUGUAGCGAUGAUGAUAGAAUUGACGAAACACGUGUUCUUGGUCCUCUAGAAUGGAAACUAGAGAUGGAAUUGAUGAAAAACAGUACCUUGUCGAUGCAGGAUUUGAAGAAGAUGAAAUUGAUGAUGAAUAGUAUCUUCUUGAUUCGGAUUUUGAAGAAGAUGAAACCGAUGAAGAAAACCCUGGUAGACAUGAUGAAGAUCCGGUACUUUUACGAAACCCUAAUUUCAUCCUCACCUGUUGAAGGAAUCCCAUGUCGCAAUCUUUUCUCUGAUCAAUUGGGAAUUUAGGGUUUGGGGAAGAUCUGUUGUCUUUUCUGAAUUACAUUCUCGAUCUUUCCCAAUUUCCGAGUAAUUGGAAUGAUGGUGAUAAUAUUUAGAAGCUAGGGUUUGGGGAAAGUUUUCUGAUUUCUGAAUCGGAAUUCUCAGGUGAUAAUUGGUUUUACGUGUUAAUACGUUUUUACGUGAGUUUAAUUAGUAUUUAUAUACCAUCCAGUUAUGUGAUUUUAGAAGCCGAAGGAAUUUGGAAGUAUUUCCCCUUUUUUUGGGUUUCAAUGAAGUUUCUAAAUCCUGUUAGCUUCCAAGUCCGGGCACUCCUUGGCUGUUACUUGGCCAAUGCUGGAUUGUGAAUGAUGAUGAGUGUAAGUGGCUCAAGCAGGGAGGCUUUUUCUGUUCAAUCUUUCAAGCACAUGGGUGGAAUGAAAUUGGUGAAGAAGACACUUAUGUUCUUUGAAGCCAUUGGUUAUACACUUGUCCUAUCUUGCUAAAGGGACCAAUGGCGAUGAGCUGAAAAAAGUUUAACACGUCCUCCAGUUUAUCACUUCGCACUGGAGACUUCUUUUCUUGCUGAUGAAAGUGCCUCUCUUCCAGAACUUCCAUUGAAGUUUCCCAUAACUAUUGCCUUGCCCGACAAACCUUUCAGUAUUGAUAGGUCAAGAGCUGCUAUACCUGGAUUUCGGUUGUCCCCACCACAUCCAAACCUCGGGGCUCUCCGUUGAAUAUUGAUUCACAAUCUGACAGGAUAAUCACAUCCCAGAUAACCUCCCCAGCCGCUCCCUGCAAAAGAAGUUUGGUUUUUGCCCAAGUUCCCCAUUUGUCAGUGCACAGAGAAUUUCGAGAUUCUAUGGAGACGGAUGCUUCUGCAUCAAGCAAUUGCCAGGGAAUUGGUGGCAAUCCACGUGCUAAAAAUGCCGAGUUGUUGGGAAAAUAGAUGCUUUAUCUAAUGACUCCCAAAGAAGCCAUAUGGUUUCCAAUUGAUUGUGGAGGUAAUGCAGCUAAGGCGAGGUAAUCAUAUUGCACAAGCUAUAAAUGAAACAACCAGAUGUAAGUCAACAUCUUUACAGCAAGACCGUAAUCACCUUGACGAGCUAGGACCUUCCAAAGUCUAUUUUCCUCCAUCCGCUUCGGAUCAUCAGAGCAUCUUGGAUUCAUCAUCAAUAUGGAGUAGUGUGGAAAGGAGUUAUUUGUGAACAUGCUCAUCUCUUGCGUAUCAAAUACCAUGGCAGCUUUGACAAUCCCUUGGGGAGGUCUCUAUGAGACAAUUUAUUUGUUCAGGUAUCUGCUUUUGGUCUGUUGUUUACUUCUUCUUCCUACACCAUGAUCAUCUGACUGUGACUUGAGCAAUGUACUUGUUCUUCUUUAAGAGUUACUGCUGCACUCCGCGUGAGAUGCCUCAUGCCUCCAGAUGUACAUGUUCACUCUUACUCUCAUCGGCUUCAUGAUAUCUGUUAAGAAGUUUCCGGAGUUUCUCGUACCAGGUGACUAAAUUGAUGUUCACUCAUUAUAUCUUCCACCAUCAAAUCUUGAUUACAGCUACGAAUCCAGACAGAAGGAGAUCAAUCAGGUGCAGUGAUCAGGAACUGAGGUUCCUUGCCUAUACUUCAAAUUAAAGACUUGCAUCAACAAAAAGUGGCUUAUGGAAUCUUGUGUGAUUUUAGAAGACAAAGAAAAUCAUCUGCACCAUCAGCCCACUGAAUACUUAAAUGAAGGUAGAAGUGAAGAACCUCUUGCUGGCUACGUACUUCCACUGCAAUGACUGAGUGUCAUAGAAUCCAUAGUAUUAACUCAGAUGAUACAUGAUUAAUAUUAUUAAAUCUAAAUCAAAUCUUCCACA